Molecule: ribosomal RNA, 447 nt
Filed under: uncultured bacterium
Lineage: Bacteria
Description: bacterial SSU rRNA
Rfam family: Bacterial small subunit ribosomal RNA
Source: RNAcentral
UCGGGAAUUUUGGGCAAUGGGGGAAACCCUGACCCAGCAACGCCGCGUGAAGGAUGAAGUAUUUCGGUAUGUAAACUUCGAAAGAAUAGGAAGAAUAAAUGACGGUACUAUUUAUAAGGUCCGGCUAACUACGUGCCAGCAGCCGCGGUAAUACGUAGGGACCAAGCGUUGUUCGGAUUUACUGGGCGUAAAGGGCGCGUAGGCGGCAUGACAAGUCACUUGUGAAAUCUCUGGGCUUAACCCAGAACGGCCAAGUGAUACUGUCGCGCUAGAGUGCAGAAGGGGCAAUCGGAAUUCUUGGUGUAGCGGUGAAAUGCGUAGAUAUCGGGAGGAACACCUGUGGCGAAGGCGGCCACCUGGUUGGAUACUGACGCUGAGACGCGAAAGCGUGGGGAGCAAACAGGAUUAGAUACCCAAGUAGUCCCUGAGCGGGCUGGCAAGGCGCAU